This 820-nucleotide long non-coding RNA is filed under the name Salvia miltiorrhiza (redroot sage). RNAcentral's name for it is "long non-coding RNA (SMIL_LNC005129)". Lineage: Eukaryota; Viridiplantae; Streptophyta; Magnoliopsida; Lamiales; Lamiaceae. The record is from RNAcentral.
AAUGAAUCAAGAACUUAGCUUCCCUUUAUUAUUUUCCUCCGACGAAGAAGUAAAAGCAUCUAGCGUCGCGUAGCUCCGUGGUGUAAACCCAUUUCCAGAGCUCUCUGUCGAACUAGAUGUGUCACAGCAGCUCGAGGGAUUAGCAAUGGUACAAUUAUCAGGGUGUUGAACGUUGCUGCAGAGAAUAGAUAAUAACCCCAAACUCGAAUAGGACGCCUUAGCCGAAACUUCAACUGAUUCACUUCCAGUGAAUCGCUUAGACCUGAAUCCUUGCAAGUAAGCUUGACAUCAACGUGAGCAAAUACCCAGUGGUUGUUCCAGCAGCAAGGGUCGGCCUACAGCAGCUUAAGACUUUGAAUCUAUAGCUUGAGGUCUUUAAGAUAAGAACACGAUCAGGCUGAGAAAGUUUAGUAUCCACUGAUCUGAGUAGAAUUAGCAGUAGCUCCACUUGAGCAGGAAGGAUAUCAAGCGAUGUGCAAAAUCAUUUGCCCUUGCACCAGAAUUUUUGUAAAAUCAUAAGAAGUUGUAAAUAACUGAAGUUUGUCGGCAAACCACAGCUGCAGCGGCAUUCGUCAUCCACAGCACUCGCAAUUGCCUCAUAAUGUUCAAAUAGACCCGAAGCCUGAAUUCAAGCAAAAGUGAGUCUCUGAAAUUCAGCUGGAAACACAACCAAAGUGAGGAAAAUACGAACAACCAUCAGGAUUUGUCAUAAUUUGUCCAUGAUCUGCGAGCUAUCGUUGCUCCUUGGAUCAAGAAAUUGGCUGGCAGCAUCGGUGAAAUCGGUGGUCUGUGCUAUUAUUCGGCGGCUGAAGCAGGAUAU